RNAcentral lists this ribosomal RNA (465 nucleotides) under Vreelandella stevensii. Its description in RNAcentral is "partial 16S ribosomal RNA". It matches the Rfam family "Bacterial small subunit ribosomal RNA", at positions 338 to 795 of the family's 1533-position model. The record is from RNAcentral. Lineage: Bacteria; Pseudomonadati; Pseudomonadota; Gammaproteobacteria; Oceanospirillales; Halomonadaceae.
CCUACGGUGGGCAGCAGUGGGGAAUAUUGGACAAUGGGCGAAAGCCUGAUCCAGCCAUGCCGCGUGUGUGAAGAAGGCCUUCGGGUUGUAAAGCACUUUCAGUGGGGAAGAAAGCCUUGGGGCUAAUACCCUCGAGGAAGGACAUCACCCACAGAAGAAGCACCGGCUAACUCCGUGCCAGCAGCCGCGGUAAUACGGAGGGUGCGAGCGUUAAUCGGAAUUACUGGGCGUAAAGCGCGCGUAGGCGGUCUGAUAAGCCGGUUGUGAAAGCCCCGGGCUCAACCUGGGAACGGCAUCCGGAACUGUCAGGCUAGAGUGCAGGAGAGGAAGGUAGAAUUCCCGGUGUAGCGGUGAAAUGCGUAGAGAUCGGGAGGAAUACCAGUGGCGAAGGCGGCCUUCUGGACUGACACUGACGCUGAGGUGCGAAAGCGUGGGUAGCAAACAGGAUUAGAUACCCUUGUAGUC